RNAcentral lists this long non-coding RNA (674 nucleotides) under Brassica rapa (field mustard). RNAcentral's name for it is "long non-coding RNA (BRAP_LNC002514)". The record is from RNAcentral. Lineage: Eukaryota; Viridiplantae; Streptophyta; Magnoliopsida; Brassicales; Brassicaceae.
AUUUCGUAGUUACGCUUCAUCGUAACAGACUCGUAUAGUUUCCUUGUAAAAUCGCAUUUAAGUACUUUUACAAUUUACGACGAAUUUACAAGUAUUUUAAUGUAAAAUCCUUGUAAUGUUAGAGAUGAAUUUACAAGUAUUUCCUAGUAAAUGUUUUGUAAAGAUUACGAGGAUUUUACAUGUACUUCCUUGUAAACUCCUUGUAAACAUUAUAAGAAAUUUACAUCUCAUUGUCAUAUUAUUAUAAUAUUAUGAAAUAUUAAAAAUUCAAAAUAUAUAAAUUAUAAAAUAAAAUAUUGAAAAUGAAAAUAUUUUUCAAAAAAAAAAAAUACAAAUGUCAUAAAUAAUAGGGGAAUUGCACUGUAUGACGUCCAAUAACCGCAUAAUUCACUCGAUGGCUAAUUUCCCUAACUCACCGAUAUAUGACUCAACUUUUAUAAAAUAUUGCCAUAUUGCCCUCCUUAUUAACCGGGAGUAACGGGUAAAAAAUAAAGAUUAAUUAAAAAAAAUUAACUGUUCACUCAACUGUCGUGGCGCAUCUUUAACCCACAUAAUCCUUUUUUACUUUACCAUACCUUUCUCUGUAAACUAAGCACUAUUCUUCUCUUUCAUCACCACUGGAAAUUCACGCCGUGUUUUGCCCGACUUUAAACUGCUCGUCACCGCGAUAUUAC